CUUCGCACCGGGCGGAUGGUUCCUGAAAUCAAUGGAAGAGGAAUGAUGACGUUUAGGGAUUAACUUGUUGUGAAAUUUUGAGCUAUUAACAAAGAAAAAAAAACAAACAUAUUUAACCAAUACAAUUUUUGUUGCUGCUGUUACUUAUUCCCCCCUUUUGGAUAAGGGACAAAAUUAGAUUUUUGGCUGUUUUAAAGGCAUUCAGCUCUUUAUCACACUGCUCCCUAUCAUACAGUUUAUUGCAUGUCACGCACAAACCACACAAACAAUUGUUGAUGAAGAGACUAAGUGCACCCUUUUUUUCCACCUUUAAAACUAUCAAAAGUGGAUUUUGACACAACCCCCCCCCCCCCAAAAAAAAUAAAUCCAUUUGCUCAAUGAGCUUAGACCACAAGCUUACAUUGUUAAAAUAGAACCCAUUAUCCUUGAAUGAGCACAAAUUCAAUCAUAUGUAUUACGAAACAACCUUUAACAUGAAUAAUCUCAACCAGCGAGCUGUUGUGUACAGGGAGAUAAAACCGUUGAAAAUAUCACUUUUCAUGUCUUUCUCUGUACAAUGCAGUCUCUCUACUCCGCUUUUUGCUCUGUGUUUGUGUCUCUGUUUAUUUUAUACUUUAAUGAUAUACAAUUGUAGAGUAACACACCCUUCACGGAGACCUGUCAGCUCAUGGUCAGGGUGAAUAAAACAAAACACACGCAGCAAUGACAUUUUAUCAAUCACACCAUGGCGACUGACAAGCAAAGAGAAGAUCAAAGUCAACGUCACCACAGAUUAAAACAUGCAGCUACACUGGAUGAGUUGUGCGGAUGAAGUGAUCGUGGAUCGAGCCGACGGUCUUCUGCGGAGUUUGUUGGCCAACGAGCAGCUUUCACGAGACCACAUUCUGACAGGGACCGUGUUCAACGGUCAUGUUUUGCGGUGACUGAGUGAGCUAAUAGCCAAAACGCUGAAACCUCAUUCGGAAGGAGAAUUUGUGCUGUGGAGCUGCUGCAACUGCACAAGUGGAAUUAGGAGUUGUUCCUGUUCUGCACCCACAGGAUCCUGCAAUGACUUGGGGUUUGCAAAUGGGUUUGCAAAACUCCUUUAGGGAUUCGGUGAGAGGAUUCUGGACGUGAAAAGUAAACAAAAAGUGAACUUAAACAUAUUUGUCAAGACGUUUCACGUGGAACCAGCUGAUGUGCGUCCUCGUGGUCCUGAGCCCGGCAGAGUGAUGGAAGGGGUGUUUGAGGGAGUACAUUGUGCUCUUUCCUUCUGGCAGAUUUGCCAUUGCUAUGAAGGAAGAGCAAUAUGCUGCGAAAACGUCCGCUGCCACCUCCCAGGUCUCUUCUCCCACCCAGCUCGCUGCCACUUCCUCUCUCCGCUCCCUAAUGCUUGAGCAGUACUGUUAAAAAGCUGUGUUCCCGCAUCAAGAGCCAAACCUUGCCCUCACCCAUCCUCACCCUCCCGUCCUCAUCCACUGAGGCAGCAGCAAGGCUCUCAUCCACCCUAACCCACUCGUCUUUGUCCACUGAGGCAGCAGCAAGGCUCUCAUCCACCCUCACCCUCCCAUCCUCAUCCACUGAGGCAGCAUCAAGGCUCUCAUCCACCCUCACCAACCCGUCCUCAUCCACUGAAGCAGCUUCAGGGCCCUCACCCCCCCUCUUCGUCCACUGAGGCAGCCGCAGGACCCUCACCCACCCUCACCCUCCCGUCCUCAUCCACUGAGGCAGCAGCAAGGCUCUCAUCCACCCUAACCCACCCGUCUUUGUCCACUGAGGCAGCAGCAAGGCUCUCAUCCACCCUCACUCUCCCGUCCUCAUCCACUGAAGCAGCUUCAAGGCCCUCACCCACCCUCACUCUCCCGUCCUCAUCCACUGAGGCAGGAGCAAGGCCCUCAUCCACCCUCACUCACCCGUCUUCGUCCAGUGAGGGAGGAGCAAGGCCCUCAUCCACCCGUCAACCACCAGUUUAUGACACAUUGAACAAGAUCCCCUGAGUAGCUCAGCAAAGCAAGGAGGCUUGACUGCCAGAGAUGCGGCGUGACGGUCCUGGUUCCAUCUCUUAAGACUCUAUGGUGGGGUCCAAGCUGAGGCUCAAACCAGCAUCCUCAAUGCUCUCAACGUCCAGCUCUUCAGUGCCUACAUCCUCCAGCAUCUGCUCAGUCUCCUCAGAGUCAGGAUGUACAUCCUGCAGGGCCUGCCCUGUCUGGCGGUACAGGUAAUCGAUACAUAUUAGCUCCCCUGAGACAGACAAGAGAAUAGAAAUAGGAAAAUUGUCUUUCAGACGAUGCACUAAAAAGUUUAUUCUUUUUUAUGCAUAUGAAAAAUAAACCUCAUCACUAUGAAAAGCUCAAACUCACCAGUGUAAACGGCCGGUGGCUGAAAAGAGGGACAAGCUUCCUUCCAAGCACCUUGACACUGUGGGUGUUGACACAGUGAACAAGGUCCCCUGAGUAGCUCAGCAAAGCAGGAGGCUUGACUGCCUGAGAUGCGGCAUGGCAGACCUGGUUCCAUCUCUUAAGGCCUUCCAGGAGGUACAGCUGGAAAUUGAGGCUGUUGGCACUCGUUCCUUAAGAUAGAGGCAGUAUGAGAAAUAAUUUUUGUCACUGUUUACAAGAUAAUAAUAAUAUUUUUUUCAUACUAACCUGGAAUGAACCUGUUGAGAUGCAAGCGGAUGGACUGGAGCGAUGUGGACCCUCUAGCACACCUGUAGUUUGGCAGGACAAUGCGCUCCUUGGUGGUGGUGCCAGUCUGAGAAUACAGGAGAACACCUGGUUCACCCUGGAUGCACUUAACGGGCCUCCUCUGGAUUUGCCAGAUGUGCUGCAUCCUCUCCUUGGUUUUUUGCAUUUUCAUUUGUUAAGGAAAUGUUGAAAUGAUCUAGUUUUAAUUACUGUAAUAACUAUUUUUGGUAAUAACAUUGUUGUAUUUAUAGUGUUGUUAACUGUGCUCUCAUUCUCUUCGCCCACAAGUAGUAAUUUGUUGUCCGCACUGUUUCAUGCGCCACAGGGAGGAGGACCCCGUCACCUGGCCACAGUCUCAGGAGCUAUGGUCAGACUGUUUCCCCUCUGUCUCUUCCUCCCUCUCCUGUGUCUUCAAUCGCCUCCACUUCCUCGGUUCCAUCAGCCGCUACUAGAGUAGAAAUGUCAGCUACCACCUCCUCUGGUACCUCCUCUGCUCAUCUCACCCCUGCGAUCUCAGCACCCGCCCACGCCGCUCCAUCAAGUCUGGUCCCUCGGCCCGUCCUGCUCCUGACUCCCUUCCGUUGGCCGCAAAUGUGGAGGCUGCUGAUGGUUCAGCAUCUGGCUGGCUCCCUGCGAAACUAGUGAAGACCGUUCCUCUUCAAGACCAAAAGUGGAUUCCAGCAGCUUUGUGGAAGCACCAGCGGCUGCACUCUGACCUUAAACUCUGGUAUGAUCCACCAGAGCCAGCAUUAAUUCAUCAUCAGACCCCCACUCCAGAGCGCUUUUUCACCUUAAUCAAUUCGUUAAAUAAAGUGUAUUCAUUAUUUAUAGUUUUACUUUAAUCGUUACCACUUACCACGGAGGACCGCUGCCGAUGUGGACUCUGCGCUGUGUUUGUUGUUUAAUUGAAGGUCUCCACACAUCAGCUCGCAUCUGGUCUGAUUUAUUGCUGGUAAAUAGAAAAAUAAACGGUCCUGGUCUGCCACGGAGGACACAGCACACACACGCCGAGUCAUCCACGGGCACGCCCCUGGUGAACUAGCCGCGCUCAGAUCACCAUACGUUACAUUUAAAUUGAGAAUAGAGAAAUGCAGCAAAUACAAGAUGUACCUGGUAAAUAGAAAAAUAAACUUGCCUGGUCAGCCACGGAGGACACAGCACACACACGCCCAGUCAUCCUAUAACAGAUAAAAAAAUAUUAAAUUAGCAAUCUAGCAUGCUAUGCUAACUAGCAGGCUAAGCUAACUAGCGUUACCUAAAUGCUUCCCGUAAAUCACACACAAUAACCCUUCCAGCGCGCAUAACUACAUCGCUACUUUCUACUGUAGCAUGUAUGCAUCAAGGCAAGUGAAUUAAAUCAUAUUAAAAGAAAUGAUCAAAAUGUGCAUAUGACUGGGUGCAAUCCAACAUACCACGGGCGCGCUCCUCGUGAACUAGCACGGCCCAGUCACGUACCAGUGCAUAUAUGUACGGGGGAGCCGCCCACUGACCAAUCACAAUACCAUAAAAUGUCAAUAAAACGUCUUUGAAUCGGUUGUUAUUCAAUGACAAGUGGAAUCAUAUAUAACUCUGUUACAUUAGCAAUUAUUUCGUGUGUUUUGACGGUAUUGUCUUGAGUUAGAUCGUUGCAGUUUAAAAGUAUAUUUGUCAUCGUGAGAAAACAAUCUUGAUUAAUUCGGGUAUUUCCCGAGAUGAGCCGAGGGUAACCGAUUUAGGUGAACCCAGAUCAGAACGUAACCUGAAUGAUGACAUAAUGUAUCAAUAUGUGACCGACACCGGUACGUUAAGUGGGCGUGGCUCAAGGUGAUGAGCGGAGACUUCAAGUUUUAGGACUUUUGCUGUGGAGAGAUCGAAUCCGACUCCAUGCGUUCUUACAAGAAUUAUAUUUUCUGAAAUGCAUUUGUUCCUAGGUGGCUGUGAAUGAGUGCUUACUUUUAAAACCAUAUUCGCCGUGGCAUAUAUGAUACCCAAGCCAGAGGCUUUCUGCCCAAGAUUUCCAGCUCAGAGGCAGUUAUUCCCUCGGCAGGCAUCUCCACCUAGCUCUGCCCCUAUGCCUGUUGUCCCAGGCCCCAGCCCUGCUAUUGGCCCACCUGUGUUUUUGCCCCGACAACUACCUGCAGCCAAAUCCAUUGCUCCUGCUGGCCCCCUUCCCGCCCCACCACCUGCCCGUGGGCCUUACAAUUGGACAACAUAUAGAAACAAAUGCAGUCAGUGCCACCAGCCCCGAAAUAAAGAAAAUGGCCAAUAUUAUGGAUAUAUAUAUACUGUCCCCAAACUGUAAAUAUGUCACUUGACCAGUGGAUGGAGGAGUUGAGGAGGAAGGGGGCAGAAAAAAGGAGAUUUGUGUCAUUCUGUGUGUGAAUUGUGUUAUUUGUUAAACGUUUUAAAAGAUUGAAAUAUAACAAACAUUUUGAAACA
This is a long non-coding RNA of Scophthalmus maximus (turbot), 5081 nucleotides long. RefSeq lists it as uncharacterized. The record is from RefSeq and is a predicted model, not a curated record. The transcript has 4 exons. Lineage: Eukaryota; Metazoa; Chordata; Actinopteri; Pleuronectiformes; Scophthalmidae.